RNAcentral lists this ribosomal RNA (253 nucleotides) under uncultured bacterium. Its description in RNAcentral is "partial 16S ribosomal RNA". It matches the Rfam family "Bacterial small subunit ribosomal RNA", at positions 524 to 776 of the family's 1533-position model. The record is from RNAcentral.
UACGAAGGACCCGAGCGUUAUCCGGAUUUAUUGGGUUUAAAGGGCGCGUAGGCGGCCGGGUUGGUCGUGGGUGAAAUCCCCCAGCUUAACUGGGGAACUGCCUACGAUACUGCCUGGCUCGAGGGAGGAAGGGGCGGUCGGAACUGUCGGUGGAGCGGUGAAAUGCGUUGAUAUCGACAGGAACGCCGGUGGCGAAAGCGGACCGCUGGCCCUCUUCUGACGCUGAGGCGCGAAAGCCAGGGGAGCGAACGGG